CCUACGGGGGACAGCAGUGAGGAAUAUUGGUCAAUGGGCGAGAGCCUGAACCAGCCAAGUCGCGUGAAGGAUGACGGCCCUACGGGUUGUAAACUUCUUUUGUCAGGGAGCAAUUGGGUCCACGCGUUUGCUUAGCGCGAGUACCUUAAGUACAAGCAUCGGCUAAAUCCGUGCCAGCAGCCGCGGUAAUACGGAGGAUGGGAGCGGUAUCCGGAUUUAUUGGGUUGAAAGGGUGCGUAGGCGGAAUAUCAAGUCAGCGGUAAAAAUUCGGGGCGAAACCCCGUCGUGACGUUGAAACUGAUGUUCUUGAGUGGGCGAGAAGUAUGCGGAAUGCGUGGUGUAGCGGUGAAAUGCAUAGAUAUCACGCAGAACUCCGAUGGCGAAGGCAGCAUACCGGCGCCCAACUGACGCUGAAGCACGAAAGCGUGGGUAUCGAACAGGAUUAGAUACCAGAGUAGUC
This 460-nucleotide ribosomal RNA is filed under the name uncultured bacterium. RNAcentral's name for it is "partial 16S ribosomal RNA". It matches the Rfam family "Bacterial small subunit ribosomal RNA", at positions 338 to 795 of the family's 1533-position model. The record is from RNAcentral.